CUUUGAGCCCCGUGCAGGCAUGCAUAUCCGGGUCACAGUCGCUUCAUAUUUCACAGGCAACAUGGCCACGGUAGAAGGAACACGUGAACGUAAAAAAACACCCGAAAAUGCGCAUUUUCUUGGUCAGAGCCGCAUUUUUCCCCGUAGAAGAGUGGAUGAGUGCCUUCGUCAUUGAACAUCCGACUUAGGCUUGACAAGUGCUGGGAGAAAAUGAAGUACCAGGAAUGAGAAGAGGAUGACAACUCACACAAGUCCUUAUUCAAGGUAGCCCCAAGGCCAGACUAUGCUGACAACAAAUUGCAUGCUGCAUCCUUUAUUCAAAACAAGUCUCUACAAGGAUCAUGAACUAAUUUAUACAAUGCAACAAGAUAAGUGAGUUAAAAAGGUUACUUCACAGAAGCAAAAUUCCUCUUUUAAUCUGUCAACAGACUGUCUGAACAUUUGUCAUAUCAUGAUGCUAGGAGGCAGUGAUAUGUGGAAUAACUGUCACCAAUCUUAAGUCUGUAUUUAACAUAAAUGCACACAAACCAUGCAAGGUGACAAGUUCAUUUACUAGGGGAAACUGAACUGCAGCUAGCAGUGGUGAUGUAAAAAUCUAGCUAGUGAGUCAACUCUGGGACAUCACAGAACCUGGCAUGGACAUUGAGGAAGUUGGAGUUGGACACUAUCCACAUUCUGACAGGACUCUCUUAGUAG
Long non-coding RNA from Branchiostoma floridae (Florida lancelet), 696 nucleotides. RefSeq lists it as uncharacterized. Lineage: Eukaryota; Metazoa; Chordata; Leptocardii; Amphioxiformes; Branchiostomatidae. The record is from RefSeq and is a predicted model, not a curated record. The transcript has 3 exons.